Molecule: ribosomal RNA, 119 nt
Filed under: Nicotiana attenuata
Lineage: Eukaryota; Viridiplantae; Streptophyta; Magnoliopsida; Solanales; Solanaceae
Source: RNAcentral
GGAUGUGAUCAUUCUAGCAGUAACGCACCGGAUCCCAUCAGAACUCCGAAAUUAAGCGCGCUUAGGCGAGAGUAGUACUAGGAUGGGUGAUCCCUUGUGAAGUCCUCGUGUUGCAUCCC